This is a non-coding RNA of Acanthosepion pharaonis, 114 nucleotides long. The record is from the annotation of a GenBank genome assembly. Lineage: Eukaryota; Metazoa; Mollusca; Cephalopoda; Sepiida; Sepiidae.
CUAUGGCCACAGCAUGUUGAAACAGCGGUUCCUGUAUGAUCACUGAAGAUAAGCAACAUUGAGCCUGGUCAGUACCUAGAUGGGUAUCUACUUGGGAAUAUCAGGUGCUGUAAG